AGCGAACGCUGGCGGCAGGCUUAACACAUGCAAGUCGAGCGGGCCUUUCGGGGUCAGCGGCGGACGGGUGAGUAACGCGGGGGAACGUGCCCUCUGGUUCGGAAUAACUCAGGGAAACUUGAGCUAAUACCGGAUACGCCCUUUUGGGGAAAGGCUUGCUGCCGGAGGAUCGGGCCGCGUCUGAUUAGCUAGUUGGUGAGGUAACGGCUCACCAAGGCGACGAUCAGUAGCUGGUCUGAGAGGAUGAUCAGCCACACUGGGACUGAGACACGGCCCAGACUCCUACGGGAGGCAGCAGUGGGGAAUAUUGGACAAUGGGCGCAAGCCUGAUCCAGCCGUGCCGCGUGAGUGAUGAAGGCCUUAGGGUUGUAAAGCUCUUUUAUCCGGGACGAUAAUGACGGUACCGGAGGAAUAAGCCCCGGCUAACUUCGUG
RNAcentral lists this ribosomal RNA (433 nucleotides) under uncultured bacterium. RNAcentral describes it as "partial 16S ribosomal RNA". It matches the Rfam family "Bacterial small subunit ribosomal RNA", at positions 29 to 507 of the family's 1533-position model. The record is from RNAcentral.